GGCGGACGUAGCCAAGUGGAUUAAGGCAGU
This 30-nucleotide transfer RNA is filed under the name Reboulia hemisphaerica. RNAcentral's name for it is "partial transfer RNA-His". The record is from RNAcentral. Lineage: Eukaryota; Viridiplantae; Streptophyta; Marchantiopsida; Marchantiales; Aytoniaceae. RNAcentral also lists the same sequence under 25 other names.